ACUUCAUGCUUUCUCAAAGUCCUUUAGCCAAUCAGAGGGGCGGUGGGCGGGACUAUCUUACCUGGUGUGGUGUGCGUGAGCGUGUGCGUGCUUGUGUAGAGUACCUGUACGGGGGGAGCUCGUGCUCAUUCGCUACUGGCACCUGGCGCGCUGUGACCUAAACGGCACCAACAGCAGCAGCAGAAGAAUUGAAGAGUCUGAAGUCCACUGAGCGAGGUGAUGAAAGCUUGGCGGUUUGCCGCAUGGGCGCUACUGGCUGGCCUUUGCCUAGUACACCUAGGACACGCGACAUCUGUUCCUUAUGAGGACUUGGAUGGAUCGGGUGGCGACGAUGAUGACGAUGAUGAAGGCUCAGGCUCCGGGCAGUGGUCGGGGUACGGAUCAGGCCAUCACGUCACGUCUACGGCCACCCCAAGGCUGACGCCAGGAGGGGACGUCAUCAUACCGGCUCUAGCAGACAAAUUAGGGAAAAGCCAACCUUCUGUAAGAAGCACAAAGAUACCGUUUCGAAUCACUCUACUACUCUGUGUGUGCUGUGUGUAUGUGUGUGUGGUAUUGCGUUAUUGUUAUGUUUAAAGGUUUGUGUGUGUGUGUGUGUGGGGGUGGGUGUGUGUUGGUUGUUGGUGUGAAAGAAAUAAAUGUGGUUUGAGAGAGGAGGGGAUUUCUUUGGUGUUUGGUGUGAGUGUGUUUGUGUUUUAAUAACUCAAAUAUCAUCUCUCUCCUGUGUGUGUGUGUGUGUGUGUGUGUGUGUGUGUGUGUGUGUGUGUGUGUGUGUGUGUGUGUGUGUGUGUGUCCGGUUACACCGCACCAUUCCGACGCACCGCCUUUCCGACACUGACGUUUUAUUGCAGGAACCGUUUUUCCAGCUUGCAGGAACCAUUUUUCAAAGAUCUCAGACCCUACCUUUAAGGGCAUUUGGACCGUGACAAAAUCAUGAUACACAAGAAUGUUUAAAUGACUCGGAAUCGCUUGGAAUGAGAAUCAAAUACUGUCGGAAUGGCAGUGUGUUGGAAUGGCCAUUUGUCCAGUGUUUAUGACUACAUGUGUGUGUGUGUGUGUGUGUGUGUGUGUGUGUGUGUGUGUGUGUGUGUGUGUGUGUGUGUGUGUGUGUGUGUGUGUGUGUGUGUGUCCACUGUUUAUUAAAUCUAGGAUGACUCGGAUAUGACAUUUGAUCUCUUACCUGUUUAUUAAAUCUAGGAUGACUCGGAUAUGACAUUUGAUCUCUUACCUGUUUAUUAAAUCUAGGAUGACUCGGAUAUGACA
Engraulis encrasicolus (European anchovy) is the source of this 1263-nucleotide long non-coding RNA. RefSeq lists it as uncharacterized. The transcript has 3 exons. NCBI's taxonomy places the organism in Eukaryota, Metazoa, Chordata, Actinopteri, Clupeiformes, Engraulidae. The record is from RefSeq and is a predicted model, not a curated record.